Molecule: transfer RNA, 57 nt
Filed under: Heterocephalus glaber (naked mole-rat)
Lineage: Eukaryota; Metazoa; Chordata; Mammalia; Rodentia; Bathyergidae
Rfam family: tRNA
About the family: Transfer RNA (tRNA) molecules are approximately 80 nucleotides in length.
Source: Rfam by way of RNAcentral
UAGCUCUGUGGCAGGGUGCUUGCCUAGCAUGCAAGAAACCCUGGGUUCAACCCCCAG